Molecule: ribosomal RNA, 245 nt
Filed under: uncultured bacterium
Lineage: Bacteria
Description: partial 16S ribosomal RNA
Rfam family: Bacterial small subunit ribosomal RNA
Source: RNAcentral
UACGGAGGAUGCAAGCGUUAUCCGGAAUGAUUGGGCGUAAAGCGUCCGCAGGUGGUAUUUCAAGUCUGCUGUCAAAGAGUUUGGCUCAACCAAAUAAAGGCAGUGGAAACUGAAAAACUAGAGUGCGUUCGGGGUAGAGGGAAUUCCUGGUGUAGCGGUGAAAUGCGUAGAGAUCAGGAAGAACACCGGUGGCGAAAGCGCUCUACUAGGCCGCAACUGACACUGAGGGACGAAAGCUAGGGGAG